Molecule: ribosomal RNA, 1057 nt
Filed under: Xystocheir prolixorama
Lineage: Eukaryota; Metazoa; Arthropoda; Diplopoda; Polydesmida; Xystodesmidae
Description: partial large subunit ribosomal RNA
Source: RNAcentral
UUUGAUGUAAAUGUAAUAUUUUGUUAUUAUAAUAUAUUGGGUUAGUAUUUUGUGUGAAAAUUUUAGUGUUAUUAUAGUGUAAAAGUACUUUUUGGGAAAUGUUUUAUUUUAAUUAAAUUUAGGAUUUUAAUACCUUUUGUAUUAGGGGUCUUUAAUGUAUGUAGAUAUUAAUUUUUUCUCGAUGAACAUCGGGCUAUUUAAUUUUAUUUUAGUUUUGUUGUAUAAGAAUUAUUAAGGAAUAAAUAGAUAUGAAAUAUUAUUCAAGAUGUUUUAUAUCUGGUUUUUCUAGAAUUAUAAUGGUGUGUAUAAUUAUUUUGGAUAUAAAUAGGGAUUAGCUUAUUUAUAAUUUAUAUGUUUGUUUUAUUAUUAAUUAUUUGUGGGGUUAAAAGUUCUUAUUAUUAUGGUGUUAUUACUGAAUAAAAAUUUUAUAUAAUUUUUUUGUUUUAUAUUAGAAUAGAGAAUAUUGUAUUAAUUUUGAUUAUUAAUGAUAUAAUGAUGAUAUUAGUAAUAUUGGUAUUUAUAGGUAGGGUUUUGGAUUAUUAAAUUAGUUGGAAAAGUUAUUUAUUAAUUAUGAAGAAUUCGGCAAAAUAAACUUUUGACUGUUUAGCAAAGACAUUGUUUUUUGUUAUAGGAUAAGAAAUAAUUUCUGCCCACUGUUUUUAAUAAAGGGCUGCAGUAUUUUGACUGUAUGAAGGUAGCAUAAUCAUUAGCUUUUUAAUUAGAAGCUGGUAUGAAGGGGAAACAGAGGUUUGCUAUUUUAUUUUUAUAUAAUGAAUUUUAUUUUUAUGUGAAAAAUCAUAAGUGAAAUAGUGGGACAAGAAGACCCUAGUAAGUUUAAUUUUUUAUUUUUAAUGCAUAUAUAGGAAUAAGAAUUUAUAUAAUUUAUUGUAUUUAGUUUAAUUGGGGCGAUGUAUUAUUAAACAUAAUUUAUUUUUUAACUUGUUUGAUGACGAUUUAGGUGGACCUAAGUAGUUUAGUUGAGUGUAAAAUUACUGUAGGGAUAACAGCGUAAUUUUUUUUAAGAGUUCUUAUUAGCAAAAAAGUUUGCGACCUCGAU